This 377-nucleotide ribosomal RNA is filed under the name uncultured bacterium. RNAcentral describes it as "bacterial SSU rRNA". It matches the Rfam family "Bacterial small subunit ribosomal RNA", at positions 30 to 411 of the family's 1533-position model. The record is from RNAcentral.
AUUGAACGCUGGCGGCAUGCUUUACACAUGCAAGUCGAACGGGCUGGGGGCAACUCCAGUCAGUGGCGAACGGGUGAGUAAUACAUCGGAACGUACCUCGUAGUGGGGGAUAACUCGGCGAAAGCCGUGCUAAUACCGCAUAUGCUCUACGGAGGAAAGCAGGGGACCGCAAGGCCUUGUGCUAUGGGAGCGGCCGAUGUCCGAUUAGCUAGUUGGUGAGGAAUGGCUCACCAAGGCGACGAUCGGUAGCUGGUCUGAGAGGAUGAUCAGCCACACUGGGACUGAGACACGGCCCAGACUCCUACGGGAGGCAGCAGGUGGGGUAAUUUUUGGACAAUGGGGGCGAACCCUGAUCCAGCCAUGCCGCGUGCGGAAGA